Molecule: ribosomal RNA, 421 nt
Filed under: Siphamia sp. YCM-P45343
Lineage: Eukaryota; Metazoa; Chordata; Actinopteri; Kurtiformes; Apogonidae
Description: partial 12S ribosomal RNA
Rfam family: Bacterial small subunit ribosomal RNA
Source: RNAcentral
GGCACUUCAUACCCCCCUAGAGGAGCCUGUUCUAGAACCGAUAACCCCCGUUAAACCUUACCUUUCCUAGCAUUCAGCCUAUAUACCGCCGUCGUCAGCCCACCCUGUGAAGGUUACACAGUGAGCGAGAAUGGAAUAUCCCAAAACGUCAGGUCGAGGUGUAGUCCAUGGAAAGGGCCAGAAAUGGGCUACAAUUGUUAUUUUAACUAACACGAAUUGCAACACUGAAAAACAAGCAUGAAGGAGGAUUUAGGAGUAAGAGGGGAAUAGAGUGCCCCUCUGAAACGGCCCUGAAGUGUGUACACACCGCCCGUCACUCUCCCCGACAAAUUAUAUAAAUGUAUAAAUAAACCGUUACUAAAAUAAAGGGGAGACAAGUCGUAACAAGGUAAGGGUACCGGAAGGUGCCCUUGGAUAAAUA